RNAcentral lists this ribosomal RNA (479 nucleotides) under uncultured bacterium. RNAcentral describes it as "partial 16S ribosomal RNA". It matches the Rfam family "Bacterial small subunit ribosomal RNA", at positions 28 to 523 of the family's 1533-position model. The record is from RNAcentral.
GACGAACGCUGGCGGCGUGCUUAACACAUGCAAGUCGAACGGUAAGGCCCUUCGGGGUACACGAGUGGCGAACGGGUGAGUAACACGUGGGUGAUCUGCCCUGCACUUCGGGAUAAGCCUGGGAAACUGGGUCUAAUACCGGAUGGGACCACUGCCUGCAUGGGUGGUGGUGGAAAGCUUUUGCGGUGUGGGCAUGGGCCCGCGGCCUAUCAGCUUGUUGGUGGGGUGAUGGCCUACCAAGGCGACGACGGGUAGCCGGCCUGAGAGGGUGACCGGCCACACUGGGACUGAGAUACGGCCCAGACUCCUACGGGAGGCAGCAGUGGGGAAUAUUGCACAAUGGGCGCAAGCCUGAUGCAGCGACGCUGCGUGAGGGAUGACGGCCUUCGGGUUGUAAACCUCUUUCAGCACCGACGAAGCGCAAGUGACGGUAGGUGCAGAAGAAGGACCGGCCAACUACGUGCCAGCCGCCGCAGUAA